RNAcentral lists this RNase P RNA (394 nucleotides) under Maricaulis salignorans. RNAcentral's name for it is "Bacterial RNase P class A". It matches the Rfam family "Bacterial RNase P class A". From Rfam's summary of the family: Ribonuclease P (RNase P) is a ubiquitous endoribonuclease, found in archaea, bacteria and eukarya as well as chloroplasts and mitochondria. The record is from Rfam by way of RNAcentral. Lineage: Bacteria; Pseudomonadati; Pseudomonadota; Alphaproteobacteria; Maricaulales; Maricaulaceae.
UCAGGUGGCUGGGCGGCCGCGGUGUCAGGCUUGAAAAGGCGGCACCGAGGAAAGUCCGGGCUCCACGGAGACAAGGUGCCGGGUAAUUCCCGGCGGGGGUGACCCCAGGGAAAGCGCAGCAGAGAAAGACCGCCGGACGUGCGCGUCCGGUAAGGGUGAAACGGUGCGGUAAGAGCGCACCGCCCCGACCGCAAGGAAGGGGGCUAGGCAAGCCCCACCUGGAGCAAGACCGAAUAGGGAUGGGCCGUGGCUUUUGCCACACAUGCGUCUCCGCAUGCCAUCCGGGUAGGUCGCACCAGGCAUGUCGCAAGGCAUGUCGCAGAUGAAUGGUCGUCGCGCUUGUUCCGUUCCGGAACAAGCGACACAGAACCCGGCUUAUAGGCCACCUGAUCCC